Molecule: ribosomal RNA, 1413 nt
Filed under: Ziziphus jujuba (common jujube)
Lineage: Eukaryota; Viridiplantae; Streptophyta; Magnoliopsida; Rosales; Rhamnaceae
Description: bacterial SSU rRNA
Rfam family: Bacterial small subunit ribosomal RNA
Source: RNAcentral
UCUCAGCUUAGGAUGAACACUAGCAGCAUGCUUAAUACAUUUAAAUCAGACAAGAAAUGGUGUUUCCAGUUGCAGAUGGGUGAGUAACGCGUAAGAAUCUACCCUUGGGAGGGGAACAACAGCUGGAAACGACUAGUAAUACCCCGUAGGCCGAGGAGUAAAAGGAGGAAUCCGCUCGAGGAGGGGGUCGCGUUUGAUUAGCUACUCAAUGAGGAAAUAGCUUACCAAGGCAAAGAUCAGUCACUGGUUUGAGCAGAUGAUCAACCACACUGAGACUAAGGCAUGGCCUAAACUCCUACGGGAAGCAGCAGUGGGGAAUUUUCUGCAACGGGCGAAAGCUUGAUGGAGCAAUGCCGUGUGGAGGUAGAAGGCCUAUGGGUCGGGAACUUCUUUUCCCGGAGAAGAAACAAUGGUAUAUACGGAAUAAGCAUCGGCUAACUCUGUGCUAGCAGCCGUGGUAAUACAGAGGAUACAAGCGUUAUCCAGAAUGAUUGGGCAUAAAGCGUCUGUUGGUGGCUUUUUAAGUCUGCUGACAAAUCCAAGGGCUCAACCCUUGAUAGGCAGUGGAACCUACCAAGCUGGAGUACAGUAGGGGCAAAGGGAAUUUUUUGGUGGAGCGAUGAAUUGUGUAAAUAUCAGAAAGAACACCAACGGCGAAGGCACUCUGCUAGGCUGACACUGACACUGAUAGAUGAAAGCUAGGGGAGCGAAUGGGAUUAGAUACCCCAGUAAUCCUAGCUAUAAACGAUGGAUACUAAGCUCUGUGCAUAUCGACCCGUGCAAUGCUAUAGCUAAUGCGUUAAGUAUCUCACUUGGAGAGUAUGUUCACAAGAAUGAAACUCAAAGGAAUUGAUGGGGGCCCGCACAAGCGGUGGAGCAUGUGGUUUAAUUUGAUGCAAAACGAAGAACCUUACCAGGGCUUGACAUGCCGCGAAUCCUCUUGAAAGAGAAGGGUACCAUCGGGAACACGAACACAAGUGGUGCAUGGCUGUCGUCAGUUCGUGCCAUAAGGUGUUGGGUUAAGUCCUGCAACAAGCACAACCCUCAUGUUUAGUUACCACUGUUGAGUUUGGAACCCUGAGUAAACUGCCGAUGAUAAGCGGAGGAAGGUGAGGAUGACAUCAAGUCAUCAUGCCUCUUAUGCCCUGGGCAACACAGGUGCUACAAUGGCCGAGACAAAAAGUUGCAAUCCAGCGAAGGUGAGCUAGCUCUAAAAACUCAUCCUCAAUUCGGAUUAUAGGCUACAACUCGCCUAUAUAAAGCUGGAAUCGCUAGUACACACUACUCGUCACACUAUGAGAGCUGGCCAUGCCUGAAGUCCUUACAUUAACUGCAAAGGGGGGGGACGCCGAAGGCAGGGCUGGUGAUUGGAGUGAAGUCAUAACAAGGUAGCCCUACGAGAAGGUGCGGUUG